AACGCACAUUGCGCCCCUUGGUAUUCCGGGGGGCAUGCCUGUUCGAGCGUCAUUUCAACCCUCAAGCUCAGCUUGGUAUUGAGUCCAUGUCAGUAAUGGCAGGCUCUAAAAUCAGUGGCGGCGCCGCUGGGUCCUAAACGUAGUAAUAUAUCUCGUUACAGGUUCUCAGUGAGCUUCUGCCAAAACCCAAAUUUUCUAUGGUUGACCUCGGAUCAGGUAGGGAUACCCGCUGAACUUAA
RNAcentral lists this unclassified non-coding RNA (239 nucleotides) under uncultured Sclerotiniaceae. RNAcentral's name for it is "sequence contains ITS2". Lineage: Eukaryota; Fungi; Ascomycota; Leotiomycetes; Helotiales; Sclerotiniaceae. The record is from RNAcentral.